This 274-nucleotide ribosomal RNA is filed under the name uncultured bacterium. Its description in RNAcentral is "partial 16S ribosomal RNA". It matches the Rfam family "Bacterial small subunit ribosomal RNA", at positions 523 to 796 of the family's 1533-position model. The record is from RNAcentral.
AUACGGAGGGUGCAAGCGUUAUUCGGAAUCACUGGGCGUAAAGGACGCGUAGGCGGGUUGGCAAGUCAGAUGUGAAAUCCUACAGCUUAACUGUAGAACUGCAUUUGAAACUGCUAACCUAGAGUAUGGGAGGGGGAGAUGGAAUUAGUGGUGUAGGAGUAAAAUCCGUAGAUAUCACUAGGAAUACCGAAAGCGAAGGCGAUCUCCUGGAACAUAACUGACGCUAAGGCGUGAAAGCGUGGGGAGCAAACAGGAUUAGAAACCCCAGUAGUCC